This 447-nucleotide ribosomal RNA is filed under the name uncultured bacterium. RNAcentral describes it as "bacterial SSU rRNA". It matches the Rfam family "Bacterial small subunit ribosomal RNA", at positions 355 to 825 of the family's 1533-position model. The record is from RNAcentral.
UGGGGAAUCUUGGACAAUGGGCGCAAGCCUGAUCCAGCCAUGCCGCGUGAGUGAAGAAGGCCUUCGGGUUGUAAAGCUCUUUUACCAGGGACGAUAAUGACGGUACCUGGAGAAUAAGCCCCGGCAAACUUCGUGCCAGCAGCCGCGGUAAUACGAAGGGGGCUAGCGUUGUUCGGAAUUACUGGGCGUAAAGCGCACGUAGGCGGAUUGUUAAGUCAGAGGUGAAAUCCCGGAGCUCAACUUCGGAACUGCCUUUGAUACUGGCAAUCUAGAGUCCGGAAGAGGUUAGUGGAAUUCCCAGUGUAGAGGUGAAAUUCGUAGAUAUUGGGAAGAACACCAGUGGCGAAGGCGGCUAACUGGUCCGGUACUGACGCUGAGACGCGAAAGCGUGGGGAGCAAACAGGAUUAGAUACCCCCGUAGUCCCUGAGCGGGCUGGCAAGGCGCAU